CCUACGGGAGGCAGCAGUGAGGAAUAUUGGUCAAUGGCCGUAAGGCUGAACCAGCCAAGUCGCGUGAAGGAAGAAGGAACUAUGGUUUGUAAACUUCUUUUAUAGGGGAAUAAAGGUAUCCACGUGUGGAUAUUUGCAUGUACCCUAUGAAUAAGCAUCGGCUAACUCCGUGCCAGCAGCCGCGGUAAUACGGAGGAUGCGAGCGUUAUCCGGAUUUAUUGGGUUUAAAGGGUGCGUAGGUUGUUUUGUAAGUCGGAGGUGAAAUCCUGGGGCUUAACCAUGGAAUGGCAGUUAAAACUGGAAGACUUGAGUGUGUUAGAGGUAGGCGGAAUGCGUGGUGUAGCGGUGAAAUGCAUAGAUAUUACGAAGAACUCCGAUUGCGAAGGCAGCCUACUGAGACAUAACUGACGCUGAAGCACGAAAGCGUGGGGAUCAAACAGGAUUAGAUACCCUAGUAGUC
This 460-nucleotide ribosomal RNA is filed under the name uncultured bacterium. RNAcentral describes it as "partial 16S ribosomal RNA". It matches the Rfam family "Bacterial small subunit ribosomal RNA", at positions 338 to 795 of the family's 1533-position model. The record is from RNAcentral.